This 395-nucleotide ribosomal RNA is filed under the name uncultured bacterium. Its description in RNAcentral is "partial 16S ribosomal RNA". It matches the Rfam family "Bacterial small subunit ribosomal RNA", at positions 523 to 918 of the family's 1533-position model. The record is from RNAcentral.
AUACGUAGGGUGCAAGCGUUAAUCGGAAUUACUGGGCGUAAAGCGUGCGCAGGCGGUUUUGUAAGACAGGGGUGAAAUCCCCGGGCUCAACCUGGGAACUGCCAUUGUGGCUGCAAGGCUGGAGUGCGGCAGAGGGGGAUGGAAUUCCGCGUGUAGCAGUGAAAUGCGUAGAUAUGCGGAGGAACACCGAAGGCGAAGGUAAUCCCCUGGGCCUGCACGGACGCUCAUGCACGAAAGCGUGGGGAGCAAACAGGAUUAGAUACGCAGGUAGUCCACGCCCUAAACGAUGUCAACUGGUUGUUGGGGAUUUAUUUUCUCAGUAACGAAGCUAACGCGUGGAGUGGACCGCCUGGGUAGUACGGUCGCAAGACUGACACUCAAAGGAAUUAACGGGG